GACGAACGCUUGCGGCGUGCUUAACACAUGCAAGUCGAACGAAGUGGCGAACGGGUGAGUAACGCGUAAUCAACCUGCCCUUCAGAGGGGGACAACAGUUGGAAACGACUGCUAAUACCGCAUACUGAAGGAGGGGAUUGCGUCUGAUUAGCUGGUUGGAGGGGUAACGGCCCACCAAGGCGAUGAUCAGUAGCCGGUCCGUGAGAAAGAACGGACACAUUGGAACUGAGACACGGCCCAGACGCCUACGCGAGUCAGCAGUGGGGAAUAUUGGUCAAGGGGCGAAAGCCUGAUCCCGCCCUGCCGCGUGUGGGAAGAAGGGCUUCGGAUUGUAAAGCACUGUAAGUUGGGAGGCGUGACCAACAGAAUAAGCACCGGCUAACUUCGUGCCAGCAGCCGCGGUAAUUC
Molecule: ribosomal RNA, 408 nt
Filed under: uncultured bacterium
Lineage: Bacteria
Description: partial 16S ribosomal RNA
Rfam family: Bacterial small subunit ribosomal RNA
Source: RNAcentral